RNAcentral lists this ribosomal RNA (92 nucleotides) under Escherichia coli. Its description in RNAcentral is "partial 16S ribosomal RNA". It matches the Rfam family "Bacterial small subunit ribosomal RNA", at positions 1 to 88 of the family's 1533-position model. RNAcentral also lists the same sequence under 1 other name. Lineage: Bacteria; Pseudomonadati; Pseudomonadota; Gammaproteobacteria; Enterobacterales; Enterobacteriaceae. The record is from RNAcentral.
AAAUUGAAGAGUUUGAUCAUGGCUCAGAUUGAACGCUGGCGGCAGGCCUAACACAUGCAAGUCGAACGGUAACAGGAAGAAGCUUGCUGCUU